ACAGAGGCCCCGAGCGUUAAUAGGAAUCACUGGGCGUAAAGGGCGCGUAGGCGGCGCGGUAAGCGUGCGGUGAAAGCCCGGGGCUCAACCCCGGGUCGGCCGUGCGGACUGCCGGGCUGGAGCACUGUAGAGGCAGGUGGAAUUCCGGGUGUAGCGGUGGAAUGCGUAGAGAUCCGGAAGAACACCGGUGGCGAAGGCGGCCUGCUGGGCAGUAGCCGACGCUGAAGCGCGACAGCGUGGGGAGCAAACAGGA
This 253-nucleotide ribosomal RNA is filed under the name uncultured prokaryote. RNAcentral's name for it is "partial 16S ribosomal RNA". It matches the Rfam family "Bacterial small subunit ribosomal RNA", at positions 525 to 777 of the family's 1533-position model. The record is from RNAcentral.